AUUGAACGCUGGCGGCAUGCCUUACACAUGCAAGUCGAACGGCAGCACGGGAGCAAUCCUGGUGGCGAGUGGCGAACGGGUGAGUAAUAUAUCGGAACGUGCCCAGUCGUGGGGAUAACGUAGCGAAAGCUACGCUAAUACCGCAUACGAUCUAUGGAUGAAAGCGGGGGAUCGCAAGACCUCGCGCGAUUGGAGCGGCCAAUAUCAGAUUAGGUAGUUGGUGAGGUAAAGGCUCACCAAGCCGACGAUCUGUAGCUGGUCUGAGAGGACGACCAGCCACACUGGGACUGAGACACGGCCCAGACUCCUACGGGAGGCAGCAGUGGGGAAUUUUGGACAAUGGGCGCAAGCCUGAUCCAGCAAUGCCGCGUGCAGGAUGAAGGCCUUCGGGUUGU
This 395-nucleotide ribosomal RNA is filed under the name uncultured bacterium. Its description in RNAcentral is "bacterial SSU rRNA". It matches the Rfam family "Bacterial small subunit ribosomal RNA", at positions 30 to 426 of the family's 1533-position model. The record is from RNAcentral.